This 66-nucleotide small RNA is filed under the name Pedobacter alluvionis. RNAcentral describes it as "Flavo-1 RNA". It matches the Rfam family "Flavo-1 RNA". Lineage: Bacteria; Pseudomonadati; Bacteroidota; Sphingobacteriia; Sphingobacteriales; Sphingobacteriaceae. The record is from RNAcentral.
UUCUAAACCUGAUGGGAACGGCAGCCCGAGCUUUUCGCGAGGCUAUAGUGUACAGCAGGACUGAUG